UACGAAGGGUGCAAGCGUUACUCGGAAUUACUGGGCGUAAAGCGUGCGUAGGUGGUUUGUUAAGUCUGAUGUGAAAGCCCUGGGCUCAACCUGGGAAUUGCAUUGGAUACUGGCAGGCUAGAGUGCGGUAGAGGAUGGCGGAAUUCCCGGUGUAGCAGUGAAAUGCGUAGAGAUCGGGAGGAACAUCUGUGGCGAAGGCGGCCAUCUGGACCAGCACUGACACUGAGGCACGAAAGCGUGGGGAGCAACAGGG
Molecule: ribosomal RNA, 253 nt
Filed under: uncultured bacterium
Lineage: Bacteria
Description: partial 16S ribosomal RNA
Rfam family: Bacterial small subunit ribosomal RNA
Source: RNAcentral